This 254-nucleotide ribosomal RNA is filed under the name uncultured bacterium. RNAcentral describes it as "partial 16S ribosomal RNA". It matches the Rfam family "Bacterial small subunit ribosomal RNA", at positions 524 to 776 of the family's 1533-position model. The record is from RNAcentral.
UACGGAGGGGGCUAGCGUUGUUCGGAAUUACUGGGCGUAAAGCGCACGUAGGCGGCUUUGUAAGUUAGAGGUGAAAGCCCGGGGCUCAACUCCGGAAUUGCCUUUAAGACUGCAUCGCUAGAAUUGUGGAGAGGUAAGUGGAAUUCCGAGUGUAGAGGUGAAAAUUCGUAGAUAUUCGGAAGAACACCAGUGGCGAAGGCGACUUACUGGACACAUAUUGACGCUGAGGUGCGAAAGCGUGGGGAGCAAACAGG